GCUUGUCUCAAAGAUUAAGCCAUGCAUGUCUAAGUAUAACUCUUUUACUUUGAAAACUGCGAACGGCUCAUUAUAUCAGUUAUAGUUUCUUUGAUAGUCCCUUACUACUUGGAUAACCGUAGUAAUUCUAGAGCUAAUACAUGCGCCAAGUCCCGUCUUACGUCGGGAUGUAUUUAUUAGAUUUCAAUCAACACUUUUUGCUGACUCAUGAUAACUUAGCGGAUCGCAGAGGCCUCGCGCCGGCGACAAAUCAUUCAAGUUUCUGCCCUAUCAGCUUUCGAUGGUAGUGUAUUGGACUACCAUGGCAUUCACGGGUAACGGAGGAUUAGGGUUCGAUUCCGGAGAGGGAGCCUGAGAAAUGGCUACCACAUCCAAGGAAGGCAGCAGG
This 388-nucleotide ribosomal RNA is filed under the name uncultured marine stramenopile. RNAcentral describes it as "partial small subunit ribosomal RNA". It matches the Rfam family "Eukaryotic small subunit ribosomal RNA", at positions 30 to 432 of the family's 1831-position model. The record is from RNAcentral.